CAGCAGCCGCGGUAAUACGAGGGGGGCAAGCGUUGUUCGGAAUUAUUGGGCGUAAAGGGCGCGUAGGCGGUUUGACAAGUCUGAUGUGAAAUCUAUGGGCUCAACCCAUAGCCUGCAUUAGAAACUGUCGGGCUUGAGUAUGGGAGAGGUGAGUGGAAUUUCCGGUGUAGCGGUGAAAUGCGUAGAUAUCGGAAGGAACACCUGUGGCGAAAGCGGCUCACUGGACCAUAACUGACGCUGAGGCGCGAAAGCUAGGGGAGCAAACAGGAUUAGAUACCCCAGUAGUCCCUGUCUCUUAUAA
RNAcentral lists this ribosomal RNA (301 nucleotides) under uncultured bacterium. RNAcentral describes it as "partial 16S ribosomal RNA". It matches the Rfam family "Bacterial small subunit ribosomal RNA", at positions 509 to 809 of the family's 1533-position model. The record is from RNAcentral.